This 425-nucleotide ribosomal RNA is filed under the name uncultured bacterium. Its description in RNAcentral is "bacterial SSU rRNA". It matches the Rfam family "Bacterial small subunit ribosomal RNA", at positions 356 to 773 of the family's 1533-position model. The record is from RNAcentral.
GGGGAAUGUUGGACAAUGGGCGCAAGCCUGAUCCAGCCAUACCGCGUGGGUGAAGAAGGCCUUCGGGUUGUAAAGCCCUUUUGUUGGGAAAGAAAACUUGCGGGCUAAUACCCAGCAAGUCUGACGGUACCCAAAGAAUAAGCACCGGCUAACUUCGUGCCAGCAGCCGCGGUAAUACGAAGGGUGCAAGCGUUACUCGGAAUUACUGGGCGUAAAGCGUGCGUAGGUGGUUGUUUAAGUCUGUCGUGAAAGCCCUGGGCUCAACCUGGGAAUUGCGAUGGAUACUGGGCGACUAGAGUGUGGUAGAGGAUAGUGGAAUUUCCGGUGUAGCAGUGAAAUGCGUAGAGAUCGGAAGGAACAUCUGUGGCGAAGGCGACUUUCUGGGCCAACACUGACACUGAGGCACGAAAGCGUGGGGAGCAAAC